RNAcentral lists this long non-coding RNA (2608 nucleotides) under Gossypium barbadense (sea-island cotton). RNAcentral describes it as "long non-coding RNA (GBAR_LNC020803)". The record is from RNAcentral. Lineage: Eukaryota; Viridiplantae; Streptophyta; Magnoliopsida; Malvales; Malvaceae.
CAGUGUCUCAUCGGCUAAACCGAAGUAAAUUGGCACCCAGUGCCUCAUCGAAUUAAUCCGAAGUAAUAGAUUGACACCCAGUGUCUCAUCAACUCGAAGUCGAAGAAGUCCCUGAACUCUUCCAAUCCUAUGGCAUGCCAUCUAUAUCUGACUCAGCCCGAUACAGUUAAUAGGGUUUAAUUUCACUUUGUAAGAAUAAUAUCCAAUAUCAUAUUUGCACAAUAUUACAUUUAUACAUAUAUAUUCAUAAUAUAUAUUCCAAUUCAAUUCAAUUAAUAUAAAUUCAAUAAUUUCAUCAUAUACCAAAUCAAUCUAUUUCAAUUGCACAACACAAAUAUUAUCACCUCAACACUUACCAUAUACAUUAAAUAAAAAUUACAACAAUUAAUAACUAGCUUCGGAUUAUAGAAAUACAAACCAGAAAUUCCGAGUUAUUCCUCGUCGACUUUAUCUUUCCCCUUUUUAGUCGAGAGUUCCGGUAUGACGUUAGCUACAGAAUUAAAAAAAUUAAAAUUUAUCAAUACAAUACAAUACAAUUUAAAUUUCAUAUUGAAUAUUUCAACUUUUUACUAAACAUUUGUCUAAAUUCCAAUUUAGUCCCUAAACUGAGACUAACUUUUAUUCUUCACAUUUAAUUCUUUAUUUUCAUGCAAAUUCCACUUUAGACUAAAUUAAACUCCCUAUUUUCACAUAAAUUCCUAAAUUUCAAAAUUUCAAAAUUUUCACAAUUUAGUCCCUAUUACUCAAAAUUUGCAAUUUAUUCUACAAUCCAAUCCUUUUUCAUUUCUAACUUAAAAAUCUAUCAAUUUAAUCCCUAAUACUCAAAUUAUUUAACAUAGUCAACAUUUAAAAAUUCAAUAAUUUCUAAAACUUCAACAUAGAUCGGGUAGUAUUUAAUAUCGGGAUUCUAAAAACAUAAAAAUUACAAGAAAAUGGAAUAAAUUGACUAACCAAUUGAACUUGGAACCUUGAAACCCUAGUUUCAUCUUUCUUUCUUUCUUUUCUUUCUUUCCUUUCUUUUCUCCCUAUUUUGUUCUUUCUAUUCUUUUUCUUUUCUUUAUUUAUUUUAUUAUAUUUACUUUAUUAUUAUAUUAUAUAUAUUUACUUAAAUAUUAAGUAAUACAUAUUUUAUUAAUAUAUACAUAUGUAUAUUAUUUUUACACAUGUAAUCACUAUUACCAUCCACUUGUUGAAAUAAGGCUUAAUUGCUUAUUUAGUCCCUUUAUUUUUUCUUUAAUCUAUAAUUCAACUUUCAUCUUUUAUGCAAUUUAGUCCUUAUACCUAAUUACUUUUAAUUCAUGCAAAUUCACCUAACCAAAACCUAAUUAACUACACAACUAGCUGCGUAAAUAUUUUUAAUAAAUAUUUACGAAUCUGAUUUACGGUAACGAAGUCUUGAAAAUGCACUUUCCGACACUUGUGACUAUCGGGUCGUUACAAACUUCGUACAGGAAUUUGCUAUGCUGUGGGAUUAUGCUGAUGAGUUGAGACUAAAGAAUCCUGGAAGUACUAUAAAGAUGGCAGUGAAUAGAGUCACACCUGAAUCUCCACCACAUUUCAAGAGGUUUUAUGUCUGUUUUGAAGCACUGAAAAGAGGUUGGAAAGAAUGGUGCAAACCUAUACUAGGUUUGGAUGGUUGCUUUUUAAAAGGUUCAUUUAAUGGUGAGUUGUUGGCUGUUGUUGGGAGAGAUGGAAACAAUCAGAUGUACCCAGUUGCCUGGGCUAUUGUUAAUGGGGAAUGUAUUGAUUCUUGGGCAUGGUUUCUUAUUCCAUUAACAGCAAACUUAGGAAUGGAAAAUGGUUUUGGGUAUACCAUCAUUAAUGACCAACAAAAGGUAAACUAUUUAUUUUACAUUUAUUUAUUACUAAUACUAUUAAUUAUUACUUAUGUUUUGUAAAUUAAUUUGCAGGGUCUCGAUAUAGCCAUUAAUGACAUUCUGCCUAGAAUAGAACAUAGAAAUUAUGCUAGGCAUGUCUUAUCAAACUGGUCUAGUAGGAAGAAAGGAAAUAAUUCGAAUUUGUUUUUUGGAAAGUUAUGAAGUCUACAACAGAGAAGGAGUGGGAAAAAAAAAAGAAUACUUGUAUAAGCUUGAUGAAAGUGUUGCAAAAGAGCUGUUCUCUAAGAAUUCGAAAGCUUAGACCAAGGCCUUCUAAGGGUUACACUCAAUGUCAAAUAUUGUAAACAAUAACCUCUGUAAAGCAUUUAACUCCAACAUCGUGGAGUCUAGAUUUAAAAGCAUAAUAACCAUAUUGGAGGAAAUUAGAGUUAAUAUAAUGACCAAAAUAGUGGCUAAGAGAAAGCAAUGGAGUUCAUGGAAAUAUAAUUAUGGUCCACUAAUAAAGAAGAAAUUUAAUAACAGCAAGAAGGAAGGUGUUGAUUAGAAGAUGAUCUGAAAUAGGAAAAAUGGGUGUGAAGUUAAGAAAGGCAGAAAACAAUACGUAGUAAAUGUAGAGCAUAAAACCUGUAGUUGUCGAAGUUGGUAAUUAUCUUGGAUCUCUUGUCCCCAUGCCUGCUGUGCUAUAUGAUAUCUUGAACAAGAUCCUAAUGACUACUUACAUAGGUACUACCACAAUGACACAUAUUUGAAAGCAUAUGAAUAUGUUUUGC